ACCAAAAGCAGAUAUUUUUGCGCUUGCCCUCACAGUGGUAUGUGCUGCUGGUGCUGAACCUCUUCCGAGAAAUGGAGAUCAAUGGCAUGAAAUCAGACAGGGUAGAUUACCUCGGAUACCACAAGUGCUUUCCCAAGAAUUUACAGAGUUGCUAAAAGUUAUGAUUCAUCCAGAUCCAGAGAGAAGACCUUCAGCAAUGGCACUGGUAAAGCAUUCAGUAUUGCUGUCCGCUUCUAGAAAGAGUGCAGAACAAUUACGAAUAGAAUUGAAUGCCGAAAAGUUCAAAAAUUCACUUUUACAAAAAGAACUCAAGAAAGCACAGAUGGCAAAAGCUGCAGCUGAGGAAAGAGCACUCUUCACUGACCGGAUGGCCACUAGGUCCACCACCCAGAGUAAUAGAACAUCUCGACUUAUUGGAAAGAAAAUGAACCGCUCUGUCAGCCUUACUAUAUACUGAGCUACUCCUUUCCCACCUCCCCCUGAACACUGUGACAAGAGGAAGCUAGGUUGAAAUCACUGAUAGAAUCCAGUUUGCAAUUACUUUCUCGAUUGGUGUCAGUAGUUUUACUGAUUAGGACUUUUAUUGUGAAUUACAGUUGAAAGCUGUAUUUUGAUGAUUGCUAUGUCAGGCUUUCAUCUAAUCUUACCAGUCUGUCUUCUGUAGGAUGUGUCACUGUUGGAUGUUACACCAGCCUUUCCAGGGUUAACCACUGUGGUGGUGUGCUGCUUAUAGUUUGCUGUUGCAUUGUAAUAAAAGGUGUCUUUCCCUGUAGUGACCUGUAAAAAGUACUCAAGGGCUUUAUUACAGACAUACCCUCCCUUUGAAAAGGGACAUGCUAAAAGACUCAUUACUACUCAGCCUUCAAUGUACCUGUGUGUCCAUCUUAUAUUUCUUUUUUUUUUAAUUGUGAAUUAGACUUGUAUAUCCCACUGGGAGCACUUUGUAGGCAUUGCAUGAACCAUGGGAUGAUGAUUCUGUGGAGGUAUUGCCUUGUGAAUUUGCUGCUAUUUUAGUUUUGUCUUUGCUGUAAACUUGUAGCAUUAAACAAUCAUUGUUGUUAAUAGGUCUUCUUUUUGAAACAAUUAUGUGAAAUGUAUAGCUGCUUUUGAUGAAAAGCAGCUAUUUGCCUUUUUUUUUUUUUCCUUUGAACUUUGAAGCUAGUGCAUUGGAAAAAUGCACCCUUUCCCUCCUUUGGAAUGCUGUAUUAAUGUAGUAUAAUAAUUACUGGUUUUGUAACUUGUUCUGGUAAUGUCCUUCCCGGACUCUUUUUAAAUGUCUCCCCCUAAGUUUUAUACUUGAUUGUAUUAUUAGUCUGUUUUUAAAUGUUUUGCCCGGUUUUUCUCUUCAAUAUUUGUGUAUAUAAACCGAUCUUCGUGAUACUGUACAUAGCUGUUUGAAAUGCCAGAAUGACUUCUGACAUUCCAAGUUUUUCACAAAAUAUAUUUUAUCUGUGAUUAGCCAUUUGACUAAUAAUACUGGCUAACAGAUGUUGAAAAAAAUUGUCUGUUUGUUUUCUCAUUAAUUUUGGUCUAAAACAUGUUUGCACUUGUCUUUGACUUGUGUUUUAUUAACAUUGAUUGGCAUAUUAAAAGUCACUCUGAGCUUACCUUAAUUGUC
This 1618-nucleotide long non-coding RNA is filed under the name Homo sapiens (human). Its description in RNAcentral is "long non-coding RNA NONHSAT158819.1". Lineage: Eukaryota; Metazoa; Chordata; Mammalia; Primates; Hominidae. The record is from RNAcentral.